CAAAUCGAUGGUCAAAGUUGGGUAUAGGGGCGAAAGACUAAUCGAACCGCCUAGUAGCUGGUUUCCUCCGAAGUUUCCCUCAGGAUAGCUGGCACAUAGCAAUCAGUUGUAUCAGGUAAAGCGAAUGACUAGAGGGCGCGGGGCUGUAAUAGCCUUGACCUAUUCUCAAACUUUAAAUGGGUACGGAGUGGAUCGAUGCUUGGAUGAUCGGCCACGAGAAUGAGAGUGCCAAGUGGGCCAUUUUUGGUAAGCAGAACUGGCGAUGCGGGAUGAACCGAACGCAUAGCUAAGGUGCCAAAGUGCACGCUCAUGAGAGACCAGAAAAGGUGUUGGUUCAUCCAGACAGCAGGGCGGUGGCCAUGAAAGUCGGCAUCCGCUAAGGAGUGUGUUACGACUCACCUGCCGAAUGAAGCAGCCCUGAAAAUGGAUGGCGCUGAAGCGUGAGACCGAGGCUAUGCCGUCGGGGCGAGAUGGGAGCCUUGACGAGUAGGAGGG
RNAcentral lists this ribosomal RNA (495 nucleotides) under uncultured eukaryote. RNAcentral describes it as "eukaryotic LSU rRNA". It matches the Rfam family "Eukaryotic large subunit ribosomal RNA", at positions 894 to 1389 of the family's 3401-position model. The record is from RNAcentral.